RNAcentral lists this ribosomal RNA (327 nucleotides) under uncultured eukaryote. Its description in RNAcentral is "partial 18S ribosomal RNA". It matches the Rfam family "Eukaryotic small subunit ribosomal RNA", at positions 1470 to 1796 of the family's 1831-position model. The record is from RNAcentral.
CCCUUAGAUGUUCUGGGCCGCACACGCGCUACACUGAAGGAGGCAGCGUGUACGCCUGGAUCGAAAGAUUUGGGUAACCCGCGAAUCUCCUUCGUGCUAGGGAUUGAGGUUUGCAAUUAUCCUUCAUGAACGAGGAAUUCCCAGUAAGUGCAAGUCAUAAGCUUGCGCUGACUACGUCCCUGCCCUUUGUACACACCGCCCGUCGCUACUACCGAUUGAAUGAUUUAGUGAGGACUUCGGACUGGGACCGAUGCGGCUUUCGGGCUGCGUCGGUAUUCUGGAAAGAUGUCCAAACUGUAUCAUUUAGAGGAAGUAAAAGUCGUAACA